This 253-nucleotide ribosomal RNA is filed under the name uncultured bacterium. RNAcentral's name for it is "partial 16S ribosomal RNA". It matches the Rfam family "Bacterial small subunit ribosomal RNA", at positions 524 to 776 of the family's 1533-position model. The record is from RNAcentral.
UACGUAGGGUGCGAGCGUUAAUCGGAAUUACUGGGCGUAAAGCGUGCGCAGGCGGUUCGUUAAGUUCGUUGUGAAAGCCCCGGGCUCAACCUGGGAACUGCAAUGGAAACUGGCGGUCUUGAAUACGGCAGAGGGGGGUGGAAUUCCGCGUGUAGCAGUGAAAUGCGUAGAGAUGCGGAGGAACACCGAUGGCGAAGGCAGCCCCCUGGGCCGACAUUGACGCUCAGGCACGAAAGCGUGGGGAGCAAACAGG